This is a long non-coding RNA of Vespa velutina, 11058 nucleotides long. RefSeq lists it as uncharacterized. The record is from RefSeq and is a predicted model, not a curated record. NCBI's taxonomy places the organism in Eukaryota, Metazoa, Arthropoda, Insecta, Hymenoptera, Vespidae. The transcript has 6 exons.
GAUGUACUGUUCCUUUCGGGGAAUGAAUGAAGGAGUCAAAUAUAUAUGAUGAAAAGGCAUAUGAUUUGCAAAUUAUUAAUGCGGCCCUGGUCUAUUGUACGAAAUGUUCACAAGAUGGUGCUAUAUAUGUGGGACUUGUUACGCCUCUUACGGCAAAACACAUAACUAACAUGUCUCGGCGCCACCAAACGCCCACACGGGAAACCAAUAAACAAAGAUGACGAAAAAGACGCCGGAAAAACAAAGAAAAUCAUUGUUCUUUCUUAGACUCUUCUAGAGACCACAGUCAUAACUGCUGGAAGUCAUAAUUUAAUUAUAUCUGCUACACACUGAACAAAGUUAAAUAAACCACAAUUGUUACUUGAUGUGCAAAGUUUCUCUCUACAUAGUGGAUUGUCAACGAUAAACCCCAAACAUCGUCUACUGCUAUUAUUAUCAAGACCAUAUAAGAUUGCGCGUGCUGGCACAAUUUGCAAAGAAGUUUGUCGUUUUGCUGAUUACAAAUUUGCCGCGCGUCUUAUAGCCCGACCUUCCAUUGUCCUUUGUUAUUUACAAAUCGAAUUCUUUUGUGAUCUACAAGAUUUGGAAGAGAAACGGGCAAUAUGAAAGACAACAUAGAAGAGAAAGGCAACACAAGAGCUAAUAAGAAAAUUUAUAAAAAUAUUAAAUAAAAUUUAAACAGUAUGAACAAUAAACGUAAAUUGUCAUUUCUUUGUUCACAGAGAAACUUAUUUUCGUUUAUCACCACACCUUAUCUAUUCGAGAUAUUAUAAAACGACAAUUUUUGGUUUAUAAUGGAAAGAAAACAACAAUUCGCAUUUAAAUGUGUGGCAUCAUCGAGCGACAGAAAAACAAAUGUGAUUGCUAUAACUUCUAUCACAACUGAGGACAAAGAAACAUAUACGUUGCCAGAAAAUGAAAAAUUGGUAAGUAAUCACAGCGAACUAAUAAAAACAGAAAGCUAUAAGAGAAUGAAAAAAAGCCUCAAUUAAAGAGGCCAAGAGAAAAAAAUAUGGAUUAAAUGCACACAGGGAAUGGAGAGUACGUAUUUCGAUGAGGAUGGUAAUUUAAUGUUUAAUGAUCUAUACCUAGACGAAAUAGUAGAAGCGGACAUAGUAGAACCCACACAGAAAAAAGAACACCAAAUAGAUCUAAAGGGUAUAUCGGAAAAACUCAUGAUUGAAAAAUUUUUAUGUAGACACUCAAACGCAGAACAAUGGUUGGAGACUUUUGAAAAAGAAUGUCAAAGAUUCGAAAUUAAAGAAGAUAACACAAAACUUGAAAUCCUAAAAUUAUUUUUUGACAAGGCAGGUUCAGACUGGCACUCAGCAAUUUAAUUAACAACGUUAACAAUGGAGGCUAGUUGGAACAAAUGGAAACAAAAAUUCUUGAAAUCAUUUGAAGACAAGGGAUGGGGUAAUAGGUAUAUACGCUACAUCUUACAAAUAUAAAGAAGGUUCACUAAUAGAGUACGCUACAAGAAUCGCUAUUGGAUGUGGACAACAAGAUCAAUACAAAAAUCCUGAUAAUGCUUAUAGCAGCAGUAUUACCAAAAAUUAUAAGAGAUAAUAUAAACAAAGGAAAUUGUCGAAACUCAACAGAACUACUACAGGAGAUAAAAAAAUGUGAAAAUCUAAGAACAAUUUUAGAAAAGAGAAAGAGGAAAGACGAGAUAAUAACAAGAAAUUUGAAAAAAAAAAAAACCAUAUAAGAAUCGCGAAAAACUAAACAAAGGUAUUAGAUAUCAUUCAGAGGACGACUGUUGGUUUAAAAAAGAAAAUAGAAAAGAAACCAGAAUAAAUAAAAACAAUUCGAUGGUAGAAGUAGACUUAUGCAAGGAACAAAAAAACGAAUAACCACACCAUUGAUCAAAGUAAAAAUAGUAUUAGAAGAAAAGUUAGAAGUAAACGGAACAUAUGAUCCAGGUUCCCAAGUCUCUCUAAUAAAUUCGAGACUAGUCAAAAUAAAAGAAAAAGAAAAAGAAGCAAAAGAUAAAAACUGAAUAUUUUUGAAAACGGUCAAUUGUGUGACACAAACAAAAGAUUUAGUAACCAUUAAAAUAAAAAUUUUUGACAAAGGGGAAUACGUUGACGUAUUUAUUAUAGACAGAAAUGACUUUGAAGAUUUCAUUAUUGGAUUAGAUAUGAUAAAGGAAUUCAAACUAAUUCAGGAUGAGAACUUACAGGUAUCUCAAAAGAGAGAAACACAGACAAAGAAAUAUAUAAAUACAUUAGAUAGAAAGAAAGAAAUAAAAGAAGUUAAAAUAAACUUUAACGAACAUGUGAAUCAAGACGAAUUUAGAUCGGAUCUGAAUCACUUGGAUAAUAAAGAAAAAACAAGGAUAAAAAAACAUAUAGAAAAAUAUAAUUUUAUAUUUGCAAAAAAUAAAUAUGAUGUAGGCACCGUUUCGGACUUCGAAGCUCGAAUAGACUUACUGGUUGAUAAAUACUGCAGUAAGAGACCAUCUAGAUGCACUAUAGAGGAUAAAAAGGAGAUAGAGGACCAGGUGGUAAAACUAUUAGAAAAUAAAUUAAUGGAAGAAUCCUAUAGUCCAUUUGCAGCACCAGUAACUCUAGCAUUCAAAAGAGAUGAAAACAAACGAUCACGAUUGUGCAUAGAUUUUCGCGAAUUAAAUAAGAUAGUUACACCACAAGUUCAAUAAUUCCCACUAAUAGAAGAUUUAAUACUAAAAGCAAGAAACUGUAAAUACUUCACCACAUUAGAUAUAAAUUCCGCUUUCUGGUCAAUUCCAUUACGUAUUGAAGAUAGACAAAAAACAGGAUUCGUUACACAAGAGGGGCACCUCCAAUGGACAUGUCUACCGUUCGGACUAAAAACAUCACCAGCCAUUUUCCAGAGAAUACUAUCUAAUAUUCUAAGAAAACACAAAUUAAAAGAUUUCUCAGAGAAUUACAUAGACGACAUAUUAAUUUUUUCAGUAUCAUUCCAAGAACAUAUAGAACACAUAGAGAGAGUAAUGAAGGCAAUAGUAAACGAAGGUUUCAGACUAAGAUUUAAAAAAUGUACAUUUGCAACAAAAUCAGUGAAAUAUCUCAGACACAUAAUAGAUCACAAUACAGUAAGACCAGUAAAAGAUAAUCUUUUCUCAAUACAAAAUUUUCCCACUCCAAAAACUCAAGAGAAUAUUAGACAGUUUCUCGGAAAAAUAAAUUUUUAUCACGAAUACAUACCGAAAAGCUCAAUAUUGCUAGACUCAUUACAUAAACUGUUAAGAAAAAAUGAAUGGUUUAUAUGGUCUGAGGAGUGUGAAAAAUCUUCACAAAUAUAAAAAAAUCAUUAUGUUCUCAACCAGUGUUGCAAAUAUUUGACAGGAAUUUACCAAUAAAAAUUUACACGGAUGCAUCACUGAAAGGCAUUGGUGCAAUAUUUAAACAAAUACAGAGUGAUGGUAAAGAAAAGCCAGUAGCAUACUUUCCAAAAAAAUUAAAUGAGUCACAAAAAAGAAAAAAAGCAAUUUACUUAGAAUGCCUGGCAAUCAAGGAAGCGGUAAAAUACUGGUAACAUUGGCUGAUCGGAAGAAAAUUCAUGAUAUUCACAGAUCAUAAACCAUUAGAAGGUAUGAACAUAAAGAACUAGCCCUAGAAAGAACAAAAAAGUCACAUGAAUAUAACAAAAAGAUAUUUAACAAGAAUAGAAAGAACCACCAGUUGAACACAGGAGAUCUGUUAUAUAUAGAAGAUGGCAAUAAAUUGAACAGAAAGAAAUUAGACGAAUUGAGAAUUGCCUUUUCCAAAUAAUAAAUAAAAUUUCAGAAUCUAUAUACGAAAUAAAAACAGGAAAACAAAUACAAGAAACCGGAUUCUUCCACAUAACAAAACUACUUCCGAUAUCAAAAGAUGGAAACGAGGACUAAAAAUUGCAGGAAUUUUAUUCUGGGGGGGGGGGGGAUGUAAAGAAAGUAUACUUCCUUCAGGAAGAUUUGCCGCGCGUCUCAUAGCCCGUCCUUCCAUUGUCCUUUGUUAUUUACAAAUUCUUUUGUGACCUACAAAUCUAGCCGUUAAGAUUUGGAAGAGAAACGGGCAGUAUGAAAUAUAACGUAGAAGAGGAAAGUAACACGAGAGUUAUAAGAAAAUUUACAAUAUAUAUUAAAUAAUAUUUAACAGUGUGAAUAAUAACCGAAAUUAUCGUUUCUUUGUUCACAGAUAAUCAUUGCUUCUCAAGUCAAUUUCGAUCUACAUUGCAAAUGAGUAUUUUGGAACCACCGUAGAACUUCUUAAGUAUUCUUUCCACAUAGUGGGAUGUCAGCAAUAAUUUGAUCACAAUUGAUGACCUCGACGUGAUCUUUGUGCAUCAAGAGUUUCUACAAAAGGAAAAAUGUAUCGGUGUCAGCCAUACUGCCUCAUGUUCAUAACACUUGAAAAAGAAUCACAAACAUCGGACACCAUGUUAGGAUCUCUGGUUCAUCAUGGCUGAGGCUGAAUUCAUUACUUUUGGAAUCGUUGAUGAUAAAGUAAAAUACCUGACCGUCCUUGAGGCCCUGAUUUCAGACGUGAUACAACAGGAGCCCGCUACAGAACACCUUCUCAGCUACUGCGACAAAUACGCGAAUUGGCUGAUGGUUUCGCUGAUGAUACCAUAUUGCAACAACUUUGGCUUGAACGAAUACCAACAUAUAUCAAACCCUAUCUGAUUACCACAAGUAAACUUCCACUUGAUGCUAUAGCCGAGUAUGCGGGCCGUUUUUACAAGCUGAUGCCUUACGUUCAACAGAAUAACCAGGUUAUGUAUGGCAAUCUUUACACGCUAUUUUGCAUCACCGACUCUUUAUGACAUUGACUCGAAGUUCAUAGAUAUUAAAAAAUCUUUUGUGAUGGAGUUCAAUGAGUUUAUAUCACAAUUGAUUCUACUGCAACAACAAAACCAAAAACUGUAGGCUUGACAAUCUCCGAAGCAUCAUAAUCGCAGCAGUCCAAGAUCAUAGACACCUAUUUGUAAUAGAAUCUCCUAUUAUCAUCAAAGUUUUGGCAGCGAAGCAAAACGCUGCCUUUUACCUUAUAAAUUCGCUUCAAUUGACAACUUGACAACAACAAAUCAGGGAAACUAACGUCGCUGUCAUUUGUAAGAGCAGUGAAAGACAGCAACUCCAGACCAAAAGAGCUCGGAUUACACUACCAAACAGAAAUUCUUGAUUGACUCUAGGUCAGUCGUGUCCAUAACAUUCGCUAAAAAGUUUCAUAAAAAUAGAAAUACCGACUCACACUUUAUGCUGCAAAUUCAUCACAAAUAUACGGCACUAAAAUUAUCAUCCUUGAUUUAAAUCUCCGCAGAGAUUUUUGCUGGUCUUUUAUCAUCGCACACGUGGAAAUAGCAAUCAUCGGAACCGAUUGCUUAAUUCACUAAAACUUGUUGAUUGAUUUAAAAUACCAACAAUUGGUAGAUCUAGUGUCUCAUCUCUUGUCAAAAGGUAAUGCAAUGGAAGCAGAUCAUUACGGCAUCUCAUCUAUAAGUUCAGAUUUGUCUACUGAGUAUGCUGAACUUUUAAAACAAUUUGUUGAGAUCACUUGGUUGAUUAUCAAACCAUGCUUAAAUUUAAAAGCAUGUUCAUUUGCGCACAAAAUUAUUGCGCAUGGUCCACUAGUCACUGCCCGAGCACAUAAACUAGCGGGUGAAAAGGCAGCGGCGGCAAAAACUCAAAUCAGAGAACUUCUGAACUCCAGAAUCAUUAAAUCCUCCAGCGGAAUGUACGCCUAUCCUAUUCAUAUGAUACGAAAGAAAGACAACUGUUGGAGAACGUGCGGUGACUACCGUAAACUCGAUAAUGCUACUGAUCCUGACUUAUAGUUCUCCGCUCAUUGAAGAUCUCUUAACGUAUUUACACGAUAGAAGAUAUUACAGCAAAAUCGACAGCGAAAAAGCAUAUCUACAACUAUCUACGCACGUGAACAUUGAAUAACUGGCAUUAUAACACCUUGGGGUUGAGUACUUAGGUAUGCCUUUUUGUCUAAAAAACCGCACCCAGUCUUACCAACGAAUUAUGGACGCACUUUUCAGAGACCUGGACUUUGUCUUCGUCUACGUGGAUGGCAUUCUGGUAUUCUCUGACGAUGAAGACUAAUAUCUGGAACACAUACACAUUGAACGCUUAAAAGACAACAACCUUAUUAUUAAUCUCAUAACCUGCCUGUUUAAGCAAACGGAAAUAAACUUCCUGGGAUAUUCCAUUAAUGAUCAUGGUUACAAUCCAACGUGUGAACUAGUUGGUACCAAUAAAGGAUAUCAGGAACCUAAAACUAUCGUGGAACUACGCAGAUUUCUUGGCAUGAUCAAUUAUUAUUACUGUAUACUUCAGAAAAUUCAGAUCAUGUUGCCUCUCAACGGUUACCUUAAAGUGUCAAUAAAAAUGAUAUAUCCAAGAUCGCAUGGAUUCCCGAAGCCAAUAAGGCAGUUGAAAUAUGCGAAAAUACUUCGCAACAAUCACAUUGCUCGCUUUUCCGAUUUCUAACGAACCAAUUACUCUCACAACCGACGCAUUCGCAACUGCUAUCGGAGCUAAAUUAGAACAGCUGGAAGAUGAUACCUAAGAACCCAUAUGGUUUUUCUCCAGAUAACUGAGCCAAACAUAAAACAGGAAUACAGCACAUACGAUCGUGAAUUUCUUGCUAUUUUAGCAUCAGUCAAAUUUUUGCAUCACUUGUUUGAUUUCCGUCAGUUUGUCAUCAAAAUGGACAACAAACGACUUACUUUUGUCUUCAAACUAAAACUGAACUAAACAUCGAAACGUUAACUACUAUACCUCGAAUAUAUCUCACAAUUUUUCACUGAAUUAGUCCAUAUGAAGGGUGAUGAUAGCACAGUCGCAGAUAUACUAUCCUAAUUAAUACUAUAAACAUGCCAUCCAUUCUCACAUCUCUUGAAAUCCAACAAGCACAACUGAACGGCAAUGAUCUAGCUGAUCUGAUGAGAGAUACAACUUCAUUGAGACUACGAAAACUCACACUAGUACCAGGAAUGAACAUCUAUUGUGACAUUUUGGUAGGAUUCAUCAGACCAUUCUUACCAGAACCAUUACGCUAGACAGUUUUCAAAGUCAUUCAGAAUUUUUCACAUCAUAGCGGCUGGACCACAUCUAUGAAUUUAUGCGAAAAAUACAUUUGGCCUGAUUCUUAAGGACGCAUUCAAAUGGUCUAGAGAAUAUCUUGCUUGCCAAAAAGGAAAAAUUCACCGUCACAAUAAGAUCAAGCCAAUCCACAUAGAUGUACUUGAUAAUCGCUUUAACAAUAUUCAUUUGGACAUCACCUUUCUACUGAAGGUCAAACACCACCGAUAUUGCUUAAUUCUUUCGCGACGGCACACCUAUUCCAAACUUUGUUGUCUUCCGCGAAAGCGCAGUAACACUUUGUCAGUAACACUUUGUAGCGAUCUCUACUCAUAAUUUUGCAAAAGAUGUCACUUCGCAAUAAUUUAUUUUUGCUUCAAUAUUCAUCAAUUGAUAAUUUCUUCUCUCUAGACAUUAGUAAGCAAACAGCGAUAAAACAGUACAGUUCGUCUUUGUCCCAGGUUCAGGAUUACUAUUAUCUCUUCGUCUCCAUUGAUUAGUUGUUUUUUUCAACAAUGAAAUCUAUCAAUUUCUCAGAUACGAAUAAUUUGAAAAAUCGCAAAAUUUUCCAAGUAUCAGAAAUGUCUGUUUGAAUUCCCGAUUGUUGUCUUGUAAAAUCAUGAAUGGUGAGCCCACAAUUUUGGGAAGUCCAUCUGAUAUUCGGAUUGAUGCUUUGUUAAUUAACAUCUUCAGUUUCAUCAGAUUUCGAUGUACUAAGUAAAUUUAAUCACCUUAUUUUACGAAAUGUUGUAUUUAUGUAAGAUUCGUUUUCAUCAUAUCUAUCCGAAUUAGUCUCGCUCACCGGUUUCCGUGUUAUAUUCCAUUUUAACCCUUUGAGUGCUGAAUACUCGUUGCCUGUGUAGUCCGUACGGUCGGCGCGCGGCAGGCACUGACGAUCGCUGGGGAUUAAAUACUUUUUCGCGCAGUAUGGUUUAUAACACAUAAUAUACGGUCGACGGUUUAUAACACAUAAUAUAGUAUACAAUCCAACUACUAUUCUGUUGUCUAUUCCACAUUGAAUGAAAACAUUUUUAUUUUCAAUAUUUACCAUUUACUCACCUGCUAGAAUUUGAAAUCCCAGUAAUUUGAUAAUGUAUUUGGAUAUUCAAAAUCAGAAAAUUUAACAAAUCAUAAGAAGGAUUAUAUAACCAUGGAAAGGCUUCAAAUAUAUAUAUUUUAAGAAAUUAACAUUUAAUACAUUGAUUUUUUAAGAAAAAACAAUAGGAAAAUUAAUAAUUCAUUUGCGUAUGAUAAAUCUCAAAACAAGUAUCAACACAUAAUCCGACGUUGCAUUUUUUACAUUCAUAUGGUGUAUCCAUCCUUCUUUGCUGUCUUCUACAGACAACACAUUUCCUUCUUGUCGAUUUUCUCUCUGCAUUUAAAAUUUUUGAAGGGAAAUGUCUCUCAGUCAAACGAAAUGGUAGGUUCUCUAUGCUUCUUUUGCCACCGCUCACUUGUUUUCUAUUUUGCAGGUAUUUUUGCAGAAUUUGUUUGAUUAAUGAUAGAUGAAAAUCCUUAUGUUGUAGUUUUUUUACCAGUCACACAUUGAUACAGGACAUACGAGUUAUAUAAUGAGAUGUCUACUAAUUGGAAAAAAUACUUCUUAUAUCACUUCAGCCAUUUUCUGCAUGAAUUAAUUGUACUUAGAACCAUGUCAACGUGGUCUACAGAGCUCAUUUUGAUGUAUUAAUCUGCAACACAUUCAGGUUUUAACUUGGGCGAUUCUGUAAGAUAAUUUCUUUGGCCAGAUUCUAUCAUUUUCGGUUCGUAUGCACUUAAUAACAUCCAUACAUCUUUUCUAUCUCGCCACUUCAAUGCCAAUAAAUUAUCUGUACAUCUGUAGUCAAAUUGUCCUUUUGUUAAUUUUUCCUCGAUAUGGGGCAUAUCUCUUCUGUUUUUUUCGUACUGUCUCAAACGCAUUAGUUUUAUGUUUAUGAAGUACAUUAUACAAAUGCGGGGUUGUGUACCAAUUAUCUGUUAUCGAUAAAUGGCCUUUUUUAAGGUAUGGAUGUAAAAGUAUCAUAACAACAUCUGCCGAUUGCCCAAUGGUUGUAGAAUUACGUACAGUAUCUAUUUUUUUUCAGUAUAUAUUAUAUAAUCUAAUACAUAGUUUGUUUGCAGUCGCACAAGAUAAAUGGUUUGAUACCAAAUCUUCUUCUUUUGGACGGAAUAACUUGUUUAAAGUAACACCGACCUUUGAAUAACAUAAGGCUUUCGUAAAUGCACAAAUCUUUGUACGGAUAAAAUGACUGUGAGAAAGAGUUCUUCAGAGUAUCAAUUAUAGGUCGUAUUUUUAUCAAUAGACCAUCAAUUUGUACAUUAUUAUCAUUAAAAUGCAACAUUUGUAAUAAUAUCAUAUAUCUGUCUCGCGCCAUAGUUCUUCGAACAAUAUUAUUUUUUAACAUGUGAUUGGUCGACCAAUACUCUUUUAGAGUCAAUUCUUCACCCGCGGCAUUAACAUCGUGAUAGCAAAAAAUCCGUACAUCUCACAUAUUGAUGUGUCUUCCCAAGUAUUAAUAAGAGAAUACGUUUUAAAUGUUGUAAUUUCAAUAAUAAAUUUAUAAUAAUUGUUCGUCUCCUCCGUAAUAUGUGAAACUAUCCCUUCUGAGAAGAAGAAUUGAAAAGCAUCUAAAGGCGUAGCUUUUGGAGUUAAAUUUCCUUUUACUUCAGAAUUUUUAUCGUCAAAUGCAUGUAGUGGGGGCUUGAAAUCGUUUUACGACCAUGACAACGUUGGAAGAACUUCAUUCAAGUCGGAUCUUUCUAAAUUCGAAUUUGAAUUUAUUUAAAUCAUCCUCAUCGGAAGAUGUGCUAAGUAUUCUUUGCUGUUUAUUUUUCCUUCUACAUAUAACUAUCUCAUUAUUUACGCUAUUUUCUGUAUCUUCCGAAUUACGUAUUUACGUGCACUAUAAGUUUAAUACGACAAUAUGCUAAUGUAACAGUUACAACUACAUGGCGUAACAAAUGAAAUUAUCAGAAACUAACUGAAAUGGCGUCUAAAACUAAAUUUUGUUUUUUAUUGUUGCUAAGUGAUGAGGUAUGUGGUUUCUGCGAGUGUCGCAGACAGAAUGUUGGACAAUAAAAACAAUUGUCGAACAUAAACGAUUGACCAUAGUACACUGAUCAUUUUUGCCAGACGCUUAUUUGCGUCUAUAGUCCAUACUGAUAAAAUCUAUCGAGCGUGUAUUUGGAUCUAUAGUCUAUAUGGAUAGAUUUCCCUGGACGCAUAUAUGCGUCCAUAGCACUCAAAGGGUUAAUAUGCUAUCGGUCGGUUGGCGAUAAAAUGCCGAUUAAUAGGCUAUCGGUCGGUAAAGUGUUAAGUCAUUGUUUCAGUCGAAAAAACAAUAACGAGAUAUCUCGUGACCCGUAUGCAAUGUGUUAAAAAAUCAAGGACAGUGAACAGUUUUAACAGAUUUUUCUAAAUUGUUUUUGGUAGCUUGUGGCUCUGUUUUAUGGAGGAGUGAGUAAUAAGAAUUGCUGAGUGGUAUAUCUUGAAGGCAUUUUUUUGAAAUUAUAAUCAAAAACAUUGUGUUUUUUGUAUAUUUAAAUAAAAUUAUUUCAAUGGUCAGUACUAUGACUCCAGCUGUUUAUUAUAUGAACAUAAAUGAUAUAGUCAAUAUAUUUUGCAAAAAGAAGAUUGUGCAUUAAAUUAUUCUCUGAUGACACGUUAAUAUACUGGUGAUAGUUGUACGGAAUUGAAGAGAAAGGUGAAUGAGGCCUUAAGCAUUGUGGAAGAAUGGAUGAAUAGGACUUAAUUAAAAAUGAAUACAGGGAAAAUUUAAUACGUAACUAUAAGUAGUGUAAGGAAAGAGAUGAGACGAAAAAUUGUAUAUGAAUGUAUGAAUGGAAUAGAGGUAGAUAGAGUGGAAGUAAUGUAGUAUCUUGGUAUAAUGAUUGAUGAUAGACUUAGUUUUAAAGACCACUGCGAAUACAGGUUAAAAAAAUUAGGAAAGGAAGUUUUCUGAACAAAGUAGUCCAACAGAGCAGUACUGUUCACAUAACCA